CCUACGGGAGGCAGCAGUGAGGAAUAUUGGUCAAUGGCCGGAAGGCUGAACCAGCCAAGCCGCGUGAAGGACGAAGGUGCCAAGCAUUGUAAACUUCUUUUGUCAAGGGACAAAAUCAGGCUCGAGAGCCUGACCGAGGGUACUUGAAGAAAAAGCAUCGGCAAACUCCGUGCCAGCAGCCGCGGUAAUACGGAGGAUGCGAGCGUUAUCCGGAUUUAUUGGGUUAAACGGGUGCGUGGGCGGACGGUUAAGUCAGCGGUAAAAGCCCGGGGCUCAACCCCGGCGAGCCGUUGAAACUGGCUGUCUUGAGAUGUCGAGAGGGAUGCAGAAUGCGCAGUGUAGCGGUGAAAUGCGUAGAGAUUGCGAAGAACACCGGUGGCGAAGGCAGCAUACCGGCGGCGAUCUGACGCUGAGGCGCGAAAGCGUGGGGAUCGAACAGGAUUAGAUACCCGGGUAGUC
Molecule: ribosomal RNA, 459 nt
Filed under: uncultured bacterium
Lineage: Bacteria
Description: partial 16S ribosomal RNA
Rfam family: Bacterial small subunit ribosomal RNA
Source: RNAcentral